Molecule: ribosomal RNA, 197 nt
Filed under: uncultured Nitrosospira sp.
Lineage: Bacteria; Pseudomonadati; Pseudomonadota; Betaproteobacteria; Nitrosomonadales; Nitrosomonadaceae
Description: partial 16S ribosomal RNA
Rfam family: Bacterial small subunit ribosomal RNA
Source: RNAcentral
ACUCCUACGGGAGGCAGCAGUGGGGAAUUUUGGACAAUGGGGGAAACCCUGAUCCAGCCAUGCCGCGUGAGUGAAGAAGGCCUUCGGGUUGUAAAGCUCUUUCAGCCGGAACGAAACGGUCACGGUUAAUACCCGUGAUUACUGACGGUACCGGAAGAAGAAGCACCGGCUAACUACGUGCCAGCAGCCGCGGUAAU